CCCUUAGAUGUCCUGGGCCGCACGCGCGCUACAAUGACUUACUCAGAAAGUUUUUCCUGGUCCGGAAGGAUUCAGGGUAAUCUUUGUAAUAUAAGUCGUGUUAGGGAUCGAUCUUUGCAAUUAUAGAUCUUGAACGAGGAAUGCCUAGUAAGUGCAGCUCAUCAGGCUGUACUGAUUACGUCCCUGCCCUUUGUACACACCGCCCGUCGCUCCUACCGAUUUCGAGUGGUCCGGUGAACCUUCUGGACUGGGGAUUUUCGGAUUCUCGGGAAGUUAAGUAAACCUUAUCACUUAGAGGAAGGAGAAGUCGUAACA
Molecule: ribosomal RNA, 315 nt
Filed under: uncultured eukaryote
Lineage: Eukaryota
Description: partial 18S ribosomal RNA
Rfam family: Eukaryotic small subunit ribosomal RNA
Source: RNAcentral